RNAcentral lists this ribosomal RNA (440 nucleotides) under uncultured bacterium. RNAcentral's name for it is "partial 16S ribosomal RNA". It matches the Rfam family "Bacterial small subunit ribosomal RNA", at positions 338 to 795 of the family's 1533-position model. The record is from RNAcentral.
CCUACGGGUGGCAGCAGUAGGGAAUAUUGCUCAAUGGGGGAAACCCUGAUGCAGCGACGCCGCGUGGAGGAUGAAGGUUUUCGGAUUGUAAACUCCUUUUGUCAGAGAAGAUAAUGACGGUAUCUAACGAAUAAGCACCGGCUAACUCCGUGCCAGCAGCCGCGGUAAUACGGAGGGUGCAAGCGUUAUCCGGAUUCACUGGGCGUAAAGAGAGCGUAGGCGGGAGAGCAAGUCAGAAGUGAAAUCCCAGGGCUUAACCAUAGAACUGCAUUUGAAACUGUUAUUCUAGAGUAUGGGAGAGGUAGGUGGAAUUCUUGGUGUAGGGGUAAAAUCCGUAGAGAUCAAGAGGAAUACUCAUGGCGAAGGCGACCUGCUGGAACAUAACUGACGCUGAUGCGCGAAAGCGUGGGGAGCAAACAGGAUUAGAUACCCGUGUAGUC